AAUCAAAAAUUUUUGUCAGGUGCCUGGUUAGGAUUUCAAUUUGAGAAUUCUGCCGGGCCAAAAGGGAAGGCGGUGAAAGUCCGCCGCAUUGUGGCCGAUGCCGUAAUCCCUGCAUAGUUUUUUUAGAUGCUAUGUCAAGAUUCUCCAUGCAAUGUUCCGGGAUCAAUUUAUUAAGGCCCGGAUAAAAAGUCACUGCCUGCUUUAUGCGGGUGGGAAGGCGAGCCUGGAGUGGGAAAGCCGGAAGACCUGCCUGUCAAUUAUUGGGGUU
RNAcentral lists this non-coding RNA (268 nucleotides) under Desulfobacteraceae bacterium. Lineage: Bacteria; Pseudomonadati; Thermodesulfobacteriota; Desulfobacteria; Desulfobacterales; Desulfobacteraceae. The record is from RNAcentral.